AGUGAACGCUGGCGGCAGGCCUAACACAUGCAAGUCGAACGGCAGCACAGAGGAGCUUGCUCCUUGGGUGGCGAGUGGCGGACGGGUGAGGAAUACAUCGGAAUCUGCCUAUUUGUGGGGGAUAACGUAGGGAAACUUACGCUAAUACCGCAUACGACCUACGGGUGAAAGCGGAGGACCUUCGGGCUUCGCGCAGAUAGAUGAGCCGAUGUCGGAUUAGCUAGUUGGCGGGGUAAAGGCCCACCAAGGCGACGAUCCGUAGCUGGUCUGAGAGGAUGAUCAGCCACACUGGAACUGGGACACGGUCCAGAGUCCUACGGGAGGAAGCAGUGGGGAAUAUCGGACAAUGGGCGCAAGCCGGAUCCAGCCAUGCCGUGUGGGUGAAGAAGGCCUUCGGGUUGUAAAGCCCUUUUGUUGGGAAAGAAAAGCAGUCGGUUAAUACCCGAUUGUUCUGACGGUACCCAAAGAAUAAGCACCGGCUAACUUCGUGCCAGCAGCCGCCGUAA
This 506-nucleotide ribosomal RNA is filed under the name uncultured bacterium. Its description in RNAcentral is "partial 16S ribosomal RNA". It matches the Rfam family "Bacterial small subunit ribosomal RNA", at positions 29 to 523 of the family's 1533-position model. The record is from RNAcentral.